GUGGGGAAUAUUGGACAAUGGGGGGAACCCUGAUCCAGCCAUGCCGCGUGUGUGAAGAAGGCCUUUUGGUUGUAAAGCACUUUAAGCGAGGAGGAGGCUUACCUGGUUAAUACCUGGGAUAAGUGGACGUUACUCGCAGAAUAAGCACCGGCUAACUCUGUGCCAGCAGCCGCGGUAAUACAGAGGGUGCAAGCGUUAAUCGGAUUUACUGGGCGUAAAGCGCGCGUAGGUGGCUAAUUAAGUCAAAUGUGAAAUCCCCGAGCUUAACUUGGGAAUUGCAUUCGAUACUGGUUAGCUAGAGUAUGGGAGAGGAUGGUAGAAUUCCAGGUGUAGCGGUGAAAUGCGUAGAGAUCUGGAGGAAUACCGAUGGCGAAGGCAGCCAUCUGGCCUAAUACUGACACUGAGGUGCGAAAGCAUGGGGAGCAAACAGGAUUAGAAACCCGGGUAGUCC
RNAcentral lists this ribosomal RNA (451 nucleotides) under uncultured bacterium. RNAcentral's name for it is "partial 16S ribosomal RNA". It matches the Rfam family "Bacterial small subunit ribosomal RNA", at positions 354 to 796 of the family's 1533-position model. The record is from RNAcentral.